RNAcentral lists this ribosomal RNA (460 nucleotides) under uncultured bacterium. RNAcentral's name for it is "partial 16S ribosomal RNA". It matches the Rfam family "Bacterial small subunit ribosomal RNA", at positions 338 to 795 of the family's 1533-position model. The record is from RNAcentral.
CCUACGGGAGGCAGCAGUGAGGAAUAUUGGUCAAUGGACGGAAGUCUGAACCAGCCAAGUCGCGUGCAGGAUGACUGCCCUAUGAGUUGUAAACUGCUUUUGUACAAGGGUAAACCUGGGCACGUGUACCUUGUUGCAUGUACUGUAUGAAUAAGGAUCGGCUAACUCCGUGCCAGCAGCCGCGGUAAUACGGAGGAUCCGAGCGUUAUCCGGAUUUAUUGGGUUUAAAGGGAGCGUAGAUGGGUUGUUAAGUCAGUUGUGAAAGGUUGCGGCUCAACCGUAAAAUUGCCAUUGAUACUGGUAGUCUUGAGUAUAGUUGAGGUAGGCGGAAUGUGUGGUGUAGCGGUGAAAUGCUUAGAUAUCACGCAGAACCCCGAUUGCGAAGGCAGUUUACUAAACUGUGACUGACAUUGAGGCUCGAAAGCGUGGGUAGCAAACAGGAUUAGAUACCCCAGUAGUC